RNAcentral lists this ribosomal RNA (253 nucleotides) under uncultured bacterium. RNAcentral's name for it is "partial 16S ribosomal RNA". It matches the Rfam family "Bacterial small subunit ribosomal RNA", at positions 524 to 776 of the family's 1533-position model. The record is from RNAcentral.
UACGAAGGGGGCUAGCGUUGCUCGGAAUCACUGGGCGUAAAGCGCACGUAGGCGGCUUACUAAGUCAGGGGUGAAAUCCUGGAGCUCAACUCCAGAACUGCCUUCGAUACUGGCGAUCUCGAGUUCGGGAGAGGUGAGUGGAACUGCGAGUGUAGAGGUGAAAUUCGUAGAUAUUCGCAAGAACACCAGUGGCGAAGGCGGCUCACUGGCCCGAUACUGACGCUGAGGUGCGAAAGCGUGGGGAGCAAACAGG